GGAGGCAUAAAUCUGAUAACCUAAGUUUUGUAAAAAAUAUAGUUGCUAUUUAGUAUUUUUGCAGGAAACCAUAUACAAUUAUUCUUUUGAAACAAGUCCUUAAUUUUUCAAUAAUAUAUAAUUAAAGAUUGUUUCAUGCAAUAUAGACGCUACUGCACUACAGCUGUAACUGUAUAUUGACGGUUUUGGCACGCUCUUAAUUAUCAUUAAAUACAGCAGAUAGACAAAAGGAGUGAAAUUGACCACUAAAUGCUGAAGUUCAAUAAAAAUAAUCCUUGCCCCAAAGUUAAGGCAUGAAUUUGGUGCCCUCCAUUAAUUAACCUCUCAAAUCUCAUGUUUAAUGAGGUUCUCCUACCUUCCUCGUGGAGAAUAUCUUUCUUUUUUGCCCCUCCACCUCUUAAUUUUUACUUAGUUGGAAAAAUGAAUCGGUAAACUUCAAAUACCCCCUCGUGGUUUCACACUUUCUCACUUUAGCUUGUUAUUUAAAGUAUAUCAAGUUAGCAUAUGUGGUUUCGUAUUUUCUCACUUUAGUAUCUUGUGGUUUAAAGUGUAUCUAGUUAGUACCCUGUGGUUUCGUUUUACUCUUUUUAUUAUCCAUUUCACUAAUUUUUUUCGUUAAAUCAGUGACAAAAUUAUAAUUAAAAGGUGCUAAAGUGAAUAUUCGAUAAACCUAAGUAAGAUAUCUGAAAUUUUUUAUAUAUAAUUUAACGAAAUAUUAACAAUGGAGUCGACAAAGAGAAAAAAACGAAACCAUAGGGAAUCAAAGUGAUGCACUUCAAACCACAAGAUACUAAUUAAAAAAGUGCGAAACUGCAGGGUGCUAAAUUGAUACACUUUAAAUCACAUAAUACUAAAAUAAAAAAGUGCGAAAUUACAGGGGUGAUAUUUGAUGUUUUUCCAAAAUGACUUGUU
RNAcentral lists this long non-coding RNA (912 nucleotides) under Ananas comosus (pineapple). Its description in RNAcentral is "long non-coding RNA (ACOM_LNC033681)". The record is from RNAcentral. Lineage: Eukaryota; Viridiplantae; Streptophyta; Magnoliopsida; Poales; Bromeliaceae.